ACGUAGGGUACAAGCAUUAAUCGGAAUUAUUGGGCGUAAAGGGCGCGUAGGCGGAUCGAUAAGUCAGGUGUGAAAUACCAAAGCUCAACUUUGGUGCUGCAUUUGAAACUAUCGAUCUAGAGGUCUGACGGAGAAAGCGGAAUUCCACGUGUAGCGGUGAAAUGCGUAGAUACGUGGAGGAACACCGGUGGCGAAAGCGGCUUUCUAGUUUUUACCUGACGCUGAGGCGCGAGAGCAAGGGGAGCGAACAGGA
Molecule: ribosomal RNA, 253 nt
Filed under: uncultured prokaryote
Description: partial 16S ribosomal RNA
Rfam family: Bacterial small subunit ribosomal RNA
Source: RNAcentral